RNAcentral lists this long non-coding RNA (244 nucleotides) under Elaeis guineensis (African oil palm). Its description in RNAcentral is "long non-coding RNA (EGUI_LNC050704)". Lineage: Eukaryota; Viridiplantae; Streptophyta; Magnoliopsida; Arecales; Arecaceae. The record is from RNAcentral.
GUGGAGGGUUUUGACUCAAGAAAAUGUUGGAAGAAGGUGGAGGAGAUCUGUUUUAGAUUUGAUCCUAUUUUAGAGAUGUAAGGCAUGGUAUUGCAGAAGGGUCAAGGGUUGGUUGAUUGCUUGAAGGAUGUGAUGGCUUCAAGUAGUUUUAAGGCAAAGUUUGAGAAGUUUGAUGGCAAGGAGAACUUCACCUUAUGGUAGCAACAGAUGAAGGAUUUGUUGGUACUGCAGCAGAUCUAUAAGA